Molecule: ribosomal RNA, 253 nt
Filed under: uncultured bacterium
Lineage: Bacteria
Description: partial 16S ribosomal RNA
Rfam family: Bacterial small subunit ribosomal RNA
Source: RNAcentral
UACGAAGGGGGCUAGCGUUGCUCGGAAUCACUGGGCGUAAAGGGUGCGUAGGCGGGUCUUUAAGUCAGGGGUGAAAUCCUGGAGCUCAACUCCAGAACUGCCUUUGAUACUGAAGAUCCUGAGUCCGGGAGAGGUGAGUGGAACUGCGAGUGUAGAGGUGAAAUUCGUAGAUAUUCGCAAGAACACCAGUGGCGAAGGCGGCUCACUGGUCCGGUACUGACGCUGAGGUGCGAAAGCGUGGGGAGCAAACAGG